AGUGAACGCUGGCGGUAGGCCUAACACAUGCAAGUCGAACGGCAGCACAGUAAGAGCUUGCUCUUACGGGUGGCGAGUGGCGGACGGGUGAGGAAUACAUCGGAAUCUACUUUUUCGUGGGGGAUAACGUAGGGAAACUUACGCUAAUACCGCAUACGACCUACGGGUGAAAGCAGGGGAUCUUCGGACCUUGCGCGAUUGAAUGAGCCGAUGUCGGAUUAGCUAGUUGGCGGGGUAAAGGCCCACCAAGGCGACGAUCCGUAGCUGGUCUGAGAGGAUGAUCAGCCACACUGGAACUGAGACACGGUCCAGACUCCUAGGGAGGCAGCAGUGGGGAAUAUUGGACAAUGGGCGCAAGCCUGAUCCAGCCAUACCGCGUGGGUGAAGAAGGCCUUCGGGUUGUAAAGCCCUUUUGUUGGGAAAGAAAAGCAGCAGGUUAAUACCCCGCUGUUCUGACGGUACCCAAAGAAUAAGCACCGGCUAACUUCGUG
This 491-nucleotide ribosomal RNA is filed under the name uncultured bacterium. Its description in RNAcentral is "partial 16S ribosomal RNA". It matches the Rfam family "Bacterial small subunit ribosomal RNA", at positions 29 to 507 of the family's 1533-position model. The record is from RNAcentral.